Molecule: vault RNA, 108 nt
Filed under: Magallana gigas (Pacific oyster)
Lineage: Eukaryota; Metazoa; Mollusca; Bivalvia; Ostreida; Ostreidae
Description: Crassostrea gigas (Pacific oyster) Vault RNA
Rfam family: Vault RNA
About the family: This family of RNAs are found as part of the enigmatic vault ribonucleoprotein complex. The complex consists of a major vault protein (MVP), two minor vault proteins (VPARP and TEP1), and several small untranslated RNA molecules.
Source: Rfam by way of RNAcentral
UUGCUGGCUUAGUCGAGGGGAUACUUCGAUACUUAAAAAUAAUAAAAUGGAGAAAAACUAGAGGGGGUUCAAAUCCCACAGACUCCCCUGACGCGAUCCAGCAUUUUU